GACGAACGCUGGCGGCGUGCUUAACACAUGUAAGUCGAACGGAAAGGCCCCUUCGGGGGUACUCGAGUGGCGAACAGGUGAGUAACACGUGAGUAACCUGCCCUUGACUUCGGGAUAACUUCAGGACACUGGGGCUAAUACCGGAUAGGAAUCCUUGCUGCAUGGUGGGGGUUGGAAAGCUUCGGCGGUUUUGGAUGGACUCGCGGCUUAUCAGCUUGUUGGUGGGGUAGUGGCUUACCAAGGCUUUGACGGGUAGCCGGCCUGAGAGGGCGACCGGCCACAUUGGGACUGAGAUACGGCCCAGACUCCUACGGGAGGCAGCAGUGGGGAAUAUUGCACAAUGGGCGGAAGCCUGAUGCAGCAACGCCGCGUGCGGGAUGACGGCCUUCGGGUUGUAAACCGCGUUCAGCAGGGGCGAAGCUUGUGGUGACGGUACCUGCAGAAGAAGCACCGGCUAACUACGUG
RNAcentral lists this ribosomal RNA (465 nucleotides) under uncultured bacterium. Its description in RNAcentral is "partial 16S ribosomal RNA". It matches the Rfam family "Bacterial small subunit ribosomal RNA", at positions 28 to 507 of the family's 1533-position model. The record is from RNAcentral.